GAUGAACGCUGGCGGCGUGCCUAAUACAUGCAAGUCGAGCGAACAGACGAGGAGCUUGCUCCUCUGACGUUAGCGGCGGACGGGCGAGUAACACGUGGAUAACCUACCUAUAAGACUGGGAUAACUUCGGGAAACCGGGGCUAAUACCGGAUAAUAUAUUGAACCGCAUGGUUCAAUAGUGAAAGACGGUUUUGCUGUCACUUAUAGAUGGAUCCGCGCCGCAUUAGCUAGUUGGUAAGGUAACGGCUUACCAAGGCAACGAUGCGUAGCCGACCUGAGAGGGUGAUCGGCCACACUGGAACUGAGACACGGUCCAGACUCCUACGGGAGGCAGCAGUAGGGAAUCUUCCGCAAUGGGCGAAAGCUUGACGGAGCAACGCCGCGUGAGUGAUGAAGGUCUUCGGAUCGUAAAACUCUGUUAUUAGGGAAGAACAAAUGUGUAAGUAACUAUGCACGUCUUGACGGUACCUAAUCAGAAAGCCACGGCUAACUACGUG
This 497-nucleotide ribosomal RNA is filed under the name uncultured bacterium. RNAcentral describes it as "partial 16S ribosomal RNA". It matches the Rfam family "Bacterial small subunit ribosomal RNA", at positions 28 to 507 of the family's 1533-position model. The record is from RNAcentral.